This 484-nucleotide ribosomal RNA is filed under the name uncultured bacterium. RNAcentral's name for it is "partial 16S ribosomal RNA". It matches the Rfam family "Bacterial small subunit ribosomal RNA", at positions 30 to 507 of the family's 1533-position model. The record is from RNAcentral.
AUUGAACGCUGGCGGCAGGCCUAACACAUGCAAGUCGAGCGGAUGAAGGGAGCUUGCUCCUGGAUUCAGCGGCGGACGGGUGAGUAAUGCCUAGGAAUCUGCCUGGUAGUGGGGGAUAACGUCCGGAAACGGGCGCUAAUACCGCAUACAUCCUGAGGGAGAAAGUGGGGGAUCUUCGGACCUCACGCUAUCAGAUGAGCCUAGGUCGGAUUAGCUAGUUGGUGGGGUAAAGGCCUACCAAGGCGACGAUCCGUAACUGGUCUGAGAGGAUGAUCAGUCACACUGGAACUGAGACACGGACCAGACUCCUACGGGAGGCAGCAGUGGGGAAUAUUGGACAAUGGGCGAAAGCCUGAUCCAGCCAUGCCGCGUGUGUGAAGAAGGUCUUCGGAUUGUAAAGCACUUUAAGUUGGGAGGAAGGGCAGUAAGUUAAUACCUUGCUGUUUUGACGUUACCAACAGAAUAAGCACCGGCUAACUUCGUG